GGCGGCGAGUGGCGGACGGGUGAGUAAUGCUUGGGAAUCUGCCCAGUAGUGGGGGACAACCCGGGGAAACCCGGGCUAAUACCGCAUACGUCCUACGGGAGAAAGCGGGGGAUCUUCGGACCUCGCGCUAUUGGAUGAGCCCAAGUCGGAUUAGCUAGUUGGUAGGGUAACGGCCUACCAAGGCGACGAUCCGUAGCUGGUCUGAGAGGACGAUCAGCCACACCGGAACUGAGACACGGUCCGGACUCCUACGGGAGGCAGCAGUGGGGAAUAUUGGACAAUGGGCGCAAGCCUGAUCCAGCAAUGCCGCGUGUGUGAAGAAGGCCUGCGGGUUGUAAAGCACUUUCAGCAGGGAAGAACAGCGUGGGGCUAAUAUCCCCGCGUCCUGACGUCACCUGCAGAAGAAGCACCGGCUAACUCCGUGCCAGCAGCCGCGGUAAUACGGAGGGUGCGAGCGUUAAUCGGAAUUACUGGGCGUAAAGCGCACGUAGGCG
RNAcentral lists this ribosomal RNA (494 nucleotides) under uncultured bacterium. RNAcentral describes it as "bacterial SSU rRNA". It matches the Rfam family "Bacterial small subunit ribosomal RNA", at positions 87 to 577 of the family's 1533-position model. The record is from RNAcentral.